Molecule: ribosomal RNA, 911 nt
Filed under: Escherichia coli
Lineage: Bacteria; Pseudomonadati; Pseudomonadota; Gammaproteobacteria; Enterobacterales; Enterobacteriaceae
Description: partial 23S ribosomal RNA
Rfam family: Bacterial large subunit ribosomal RNA
Source: RNAcentral
GCGAUACAGGGUGACAGCCCCGUACACAAAAAUGCACAUGCUGUGAGCUCGAUGAGUAGGGCGGGACACGUGGUAUCCUGUCUGAAUAUGGGGGGACCAUCCUCCAAGGCUAAAUACUCCUGACUGACCGAUAGUGAACCAGUACCGUGAGGGAAAGGCGAAAAGAACCCCGGCGAGGGGAGUGAAAAAGAACCUGAAACCGUGUACGUACAAGCAGUGGGAGCCUCUUAAUGGGGUGACUGCGUACCUUUUGUAUAAUGGGUCAGCGACUUAUAUUCUGUAGCAAGGUUAACCGAAUAGGGGAGCCGAAGGGAAACCGAGUCUUAACUGGGCGUUAAGUUGCAGGGUAUAGACCCGAAACCCGGUGAUCUAGCCAUGGGCAGGUUGAAGGUUGGGUAACACUAACUGGAGGACCGAACCGACUAAUGUUGAAAAAUUAGCGGAUGACUUGUGGCUGGGGGUGAAAGGCCAAUCAAACCGGGAGAUAGCUGGUUCUCCCCGAAAGCUAUUUAGGUAGCGCCUCGUGAAUUCAUCUCCGGGGGUAGAGCACUGUUUCGGCAAGGGGGUCAUCCCGACUUACCAACCCGAUGCAAACUGCGAAUACCGGAGAAUGUUAUCACGGGAGACACACGGCGGGUGCUAACGUCCGUCGUGAAGAGGGAAACAACCCAGACCGCCAGCUAAGGUCCCAAAGUCAUGGUUAAGUGGGAAACGAUGUGGGAAGGCCCAGACAGCCAGGAUGUUGGCUUAGAAGCAGCCAUCAUUUAAAGAAAGCGUAAUAGCUCACUGGUCGAGUCGGCCUGCGCGGAAGAUGUAACGGGGCUAAACCAUGCACCGAAGCUGCGGCAGCGACACUAUGUGUUGUUGGGUAGGGGAGCGUUCUGUAAGCCUGUGAAGGUGGCCUGUGAGGG